RNAcentral lists this non-coding RNA (120 nucleotides) under Amorphochlora amoebiformis. The record is from RNAcentral. Lineage: Eukaryota; Cercozoa; Chlorarachniophyceae.
GUCAUCGAAAUUCAUACUGGUCUCAACACGCAUGGAUGUUCCAGAUACGCAAUCAAAGAUUGCCAUAGUUUAUACAAAGGGGUAAGUAUAUGUAAAUGAAGCCAUAUGCAUGUGUGUAUC